Molecule: long non-coding RNA, 100 nt
Organism: Rhagoletis zephyria (snowberry fruit fly)
Lineage: Eukaryota; Metazoa; Arthropoda; Insecta; Diptera; Tephritidae
Source: RefSeq, a predicted model, not a curated record
AACUUGGUGUGUACUGAUGUUAUGUUGUGGAGACUUAUAUCAGAUAGCUCUCGUAACGAUGUGAACUCAUAUGCUCCUAGCAUGGUAUUUCUGCUCCUCA